CAGCAGCCGCGGGAAAACGUAGGUGGCAAGCGUUGUCCGGAAUUAUUGGGCGUUAAGGGCUCGCAGGCGGUUUCUUAAGUCUGAUGUGAAAGCCCCCGGCUCAGCCGGGGAGGGUCAUUGGAAACUGGGAAACUUGAGUGCAGAAGAGGAGAGUGGAAUUCCACGUGUAGCGGUGAAAUGCGUAGAGAUGUGGAGGAACACCAGUGGCGAAGGCGACUCUCUGGUCUGUAACUGACGCUGAGGAGCGAAAGCGUGGGGAGCGAACAGGAUUAGAUACCCCUGUAGUCCCUGUCUCUUAUAC
This 301-nucleotide ribosomal RNA is filed under the name uncultured bacterium. RNAcentral describes it as "partial 16S ribosomal RNA". It matches the Rfam family "Bacterial small subunit ribosomal RNA", at positions 509 to 807 of the family's 1533-position model. The record is from RNAcentral.